CUGUUUUCAUCUUUUGGGAGGCGGAAGGCAUUUUUAACCUCAAUUCUCCUUCUUACUUUCUUUCUCUCUAAUAUUCUAUAACUUCGCUAGCAUUUUAUUGAAUACAUUAAAGCAAACAAUGGGAUAAUCUGGUUAGAUAUAGGAGGGAGACAGAAAUAUGACAUUUUAAGAUACUGACAGAGGAAAAAAAUCUUUAACUCUUAGUUAAGAAGUGUGAGAAUAGUAAAAGUGCAGCACUACUGGAGGACAUGUGUGUGGUUUUAAAAUUCACCAACUGUAUAAAGAGAGAUCCCAAAUUUCUUGCAACUAAAAAGAUUUCACUUAUCCAGUUGCAUGUUGUUUGUGAAAUUGUUAGUUUAAAAUAGCAGUCCUCUGUGGUGGGUUAUCUAGGAUGUAAAGUAUUGUCUCUCAAUCAAUCUGAUGAUUUCAGAGGACUGUUAUAAUCAGCAGCUUGAGGCUAUUUUAUUAAUAGAGCUGAAAAGGCUCAUCUAAGAUUUAAGAAUUUCUUAAAUUCUUAAAUUUAAGAAAUUUAGUUCUCCAUCCUCAAUUUUCCAACCCAACAGAAGCCAUUUCACAGCAGUGGGGUAACCCUGCUUUCUGAUGUCUAACCUGGCGGUACAUGGCUGAUGCCCCAGUCUCAGCUUUGGCAGUCCCACCCAGGCUGCAGGAGGCUCAUCUGCUCUACCCCAUUUGGGGUAAAGGGAAAGUAGGUGGGGCUGGCCCAGGAGACAAGCAAGAGAUGGGGGUCACAGGAGGAGGCACACACCUCCGUCAACAGUCAGCUCCUUCUGACCAGGCUGGAAAUGGUUUUAACAGGCGGUAAAAUUUCAUCUUGCGGUGUCAAAUUGGGGUCAUUUUGGGGUUAGAGUUCUCAGUGUCCGAGAGGAGCUGUCCAGCUGCGUGGGGAC
RNAcentral lists this long non-coding RNA (908 nucleotides) under Marmota monax (woodchuck). The record is from RNAcentral. Lineage: Eukaryota; Metazoa; Chordata; Mammalia; Rodentia; Sciuridae.